AACGAACGCUGGCGGCAGGCUUAACACAUGCAAGUCGAGCGCCCCGCAAGGGGAGCGGCAGACGGGUGAGUAACGCGUGGGAACGUACCUUUUGGUUCGGAACAACUCCGGGAAACUGGAGCUAAUACCGGAUAAGCCCUAACGGGGAAAGAUUUAUCGCCGAAAGAUCGGCCCGCGUCUGAUUAGCUAGUUGGUGAGGUAAUGGCUCACCAAGGCGACGAUCAGUAGCUGGUCUGAGAGGAUGAUCAGCCACACUGGGACUGAGACACGGCCCAGACUCCUACGGGAGGCAGCAGUGGGGAAUAUUGGACAAUGGGCGCAAGCCUGAUCCAGCCAUGCCGCGUGAGUGAUGAAGGCCUUAGGGUUGUAAAGCUCUUUUGUCCGGGAAGAUAAUGACUGUACCGGAAGAAUAAGCCCCGGCUAACUUCGUG
RNAcentral lists this ribosomal RNA (431 nucleotides) under uncultured bacterium. RNAcentral's name for it is "partial 16S ribosomal RNA". It matches the Rfam family "Bacterial small subunit ribosomal RNA", at positions 29 to 507 of the family's 1533-position model. The record is from RNAcentral.